RNAcentral lists this ribosomal RNA (258 nucleotides) under uncultured bacterium. RNAcentral describes it as "partial 16S ribosomal RNA". It matches the Rfam family "Bacterial small subunit ribosomal RNA", at positions 524 to 777 of the family's 1533-position model. The record is from RNAcentral.
UACGUAGGGUGCGAGCGUUAAUCGGAAUUACUGGGCGUAAAGCGUGCGCAGGCGGUUCGUUGUGUCGGCGGUGAAAGCCCCGGGCUUAACCUGGGAAUGGCCGUUGAAACUGGCGAACUGGAGUGUGGCAGAGGGGGGUGGAAUUCCGCGUGUAGCAGUGAAAUGCGUAGAGAUGCGGAGGAACACCGAUGGCGAACGGCAGCCCCCUGGGCUAACACUGACGCUCAAGGCACGGAAAGCAGUGGGGAGCAAACAAGG